UCUGGACUUGCUUAGCAGGAUAGUAUCAAUUGGCUUAGAACCAAAUUACUAGCUUCAUUCCUGAAACCUGGUUGGCAUACUAGAUGGACAUCACAGAACUGGGUGGGAAGCAGUAUAUUCUUAAAAAAAAAAAAAAAAAAAAAAAAGGCAGCUGUUGGAAAAUGGGAAAAGGCUUCAAGAGAGUCAACCAACUAUUGCCCACUGAUUGCAUUGGUUAUAUAGGCUGCUGAGAAAUUAUGAGAGAAUAAAGUAAUCUGGCAAGGGGGAGGUAAAAGAAGGGAAUUCAAAAAUAUUAAGUACUUCUAAUGUUUAAGAGUCAAUGCCAAGAGACUAUAAGGUUAUGGGGGAAAUCCUGCAAAACAUUUUGAUUUCUGUUUUCAGUAAUCAUGCACUCUCUGAUACAAAAUAAAUGAGUAAUGGGUUUAAAGAGAAAGGUGAUGAGGUCAGUUUUAAAUGCCUGGAGUAUCAGGUAUAUCUACUCAUAUAUUCAAGAUUUCUGGGAGGAGAUGGGAAAUGGGUAUACUACUGAGAUCAGUGAAAGUUUCUACAGGAUAUAUACAAUGCAACUAUGAAAAUGACCUGCCUUAGAAUACUAUGAAGAGUAUAUAAAGAAAAAAGACCUGCAGAUAGAGCACUGGUGACUAUCAAGAACUGAACAAGGAACAAAAGAGGACAUUAAAACUAUUUUAGGAGAGAAUGGAGACAUCAAAGCCAAGAGAGGGUAUGUUCUCAUAACAGCAAUGGCUAAUGCAAUUGAAAAAGUCAAAGAAGUUCAAGAAAGGAGUCCUGGAGUUCCCGUCGUGGCGCAGUGGUUAACGAAUCCGACUAGGAACCAUGAGGUUGCAGGUUCGAUCCCUGCCCUUGCUCAGUGGGUUAACGAUCNNNNNNNNNNNNNNNNNNNNNNNNNNNNNNNNNNNNNNNNNNNNNNNNNNNNNNNNNNNNNNNNNNNNNAAAAAAAAAAAAAAAAAAAAAAAAAAAAAAAAAAGAAAGGAGUCCUUUGGGCAAUAGCGUUGAUAAUACCAAUUGCAGGGGAGUGUUUUGUAGGAAAUCAUGCAACAAUGGGACUAAGGAAAGAAGGACAGGAAAGAAGUGGAAGACAUGUAAGAAAAAAAAAAAAAAAAACCUGUUGUUACAAAGCUUAACUGUAAAUGAAAACAGAGAAGUGGGUUUGACUGAUAAUGACAUUUUGACACUGAAAAAUUUAGAAGACUGGAGAGGUAACGAGCAGGAGGAAGAAGAGAGACAUGAGCAGGAACACAAAUGCACUUACAAACAGGAGACAACAAACAACUAUGUCCGAGUAGAAAGGGAAGAAUCAGAGUCUGGAAUUCUCAGAAGACUGAGUCAAGGCUUGCAGUAUCUGUGAUGCCAACAACUGUGUUUCUGCAGGUGAGUGUGGAUAUGAUGAGGUGUGGGUGUGACAUGGCACAACUAAGUCAUUCUCAGCACUCCCUACUGACACUAU
This 1465-nucleotide long non-coding RNA is filed under the name Sus scrofa (pig). RNAcentral's name for it is "lncRNA (ENSSSCG00055006703.1)". Lineage: Eukaryota; Metazoa; Chordata; Mammalia; Artiodactyla; Suidae. The record is from RNAcentral.